Coturnix japonica (Japanese quail) is the source of this 281-nucleotide non-coding RNA. Lineage: Eukaryota; Metazoa; Chordata; Aves; Galliformes; Phasianidae. The record is from RefSeq and is a predicted model, not a curated record.
AUUUCAGGCAUUGUGUCAAGAGGAGUGACUGAAAAGCCCCAACAGAUAAUGAUGAAAAAUGACAUUUCUUUAACUACACCUUUGAGUUUCUGAGGGUUUGAGAAGGAGCUGAAAUGCUGUUUCAGGACGGUUCAUUCUAAUUUGAACAAAGGAAGAUUUCCAGCUUUGACCAUGUCUUCUUAAAUUCAGUUCUCGUAAAGAGUUUGUAUGGACUGAGCACCAAAGCAGAACAGUUCAGCAUUUCAUCCCUCUCUAAGAGUCCAGACAAGCCCACUGAAGCA